RNAcentral lists this ribosomal RNA (587 nucleotides) under uncultured fungus. Its description in RNAcentral is "eukaryotic LSU rRNA". The stretch from base 209 to 362 matches the Rfam family "5.8S ribosomal RNA". The record is from RNAcentral. Lineage: Eukaryota; Fungi.
UUUAGAGGAAGUAAAAGUCGUAACAAGGUCUCCGUUGGUGAACCAGCGGAGGGAUCAUUACAGAGUACUAUACUCAUAACCCUUUGUGAACCUUUAUAACUUGUUGCUUCGGCGGCGCGAGCCCCUCUCGGGGAGCGUGCCCGCCGGUGUCAUCAGAAUCUCUGUUCGAACCCGACGAUACUUCUGAGUGUUCUAAGCGAACUGUUAAAACUUUCAACAACGGAUCUCUUGGCUCCAGCAUCGAUGAAGAACGCAGCGAAACGCGAUAUGUAAUGUGAAUUGCAGAAUUCAGUGAAUCAUCGAAUCUUUGAACGCACAUGGCGCCUUCCGGUAUCCUGGGAGGCAUGCCUGUCCGAGCGUCGUUUCAACCCUCGAGCCCUCGUGGCCCGGCGUUGGGGAUCUGCCCAGGCAGGCCCCGAAAACCAGUGGCGGACCCGUCCGGGCCCUCUCCUUGCGUAGUAGCAUCAGCCUCGCAUCGGGAGCCGGCGGCUUUCGGCCUCUAAACCCCCCACAAGUCCGCUCCGGCGGCAUCAAGGUUGACCUCGGAUCAGGUAGGAAUACCCGCUGAACUUAAGCAUAUCAAUAAG